GAUGAAGAACGUAGCGAAAUGCGAUAAGUAAUGUGAAUUGCAGAAUUCAGUGAAUCAUCGAAUCUUUGAACGCACAUUGCGCCCGGCAGCAAUCUGCCGGGCAUGCCUGUCCGAGCGUCAUUUCUUCCCUCGAGCGCGGCUAGCCCUACGGGGCCUGCCGUCGCCCGGUGUUGGGGCUCUACGGGUGGGGCUCGUCCCCCCGCAGUCCCCGAAAUGUAGUGGCGGUCCAGCCGCGGCGCCCCCUGCGUAGUAGAUCCUACAUCUCGCAUCGGGUCCCGGCGAAGGCCAGCCGUCGAACCUUUUAUUUCAUGGUUUGACCUCGGAUCAGGUAGGGUUACCCGCUGAACUUAAGCAUAUCAAUAAGCGGAGGA
Molecule: unclassified non-coding RNA, 371 nt
Filed under: soil metagenome
Description: partial contains 5.8S ribosomal RNA, internal transcribed spacer 2, and large subunit ribosomal RNA
Rfam family: 5.8S ribosomal RNA (bases 1-120)
Source: RNAcentral